UACGAAGGGGGGCUAGCGUUGCUCGGAAUGACUGAGCGUAAAGGGCGCGUAGGCGGUUUGUACAGUCAGGUGUGAAAUUCCCGGGCUCAACCCGGGAACUGCGUCCGAUACUGGAAGGCUUGAAUCCGGGAGAGGGAUGCGGAAUUCCAGGUGUAGCGGUGAAAUGCGUAGAUAUCUGGAGGAACACCGGUGGCGAAGGCGGCAUCCUGGACCGGUAUUGACGCUGAGGCGCGAAAGCCAGGGGAGCAAACGGG
RNAcentral lists this ribosomal RNA (254 nucleotides) under uncultured bacterium. RNAcentral's name for it is "partial 16S ribosomal RNA". It matches the Rfam family "Bacterial small subunit ribosomal RNA", at positions 524 to 776 of the family's 1533-position model. The record is from RNAcentral.